CACUAUGCUCAGCCCUAAAAUUUGAUAGGUCCCUACGCCCCCUAUCCGCCCGGGUACUACGAGCGUUAGCUUAAAACCCAAAGGACUUGGCGGUGCUUCACAUCCGUCUAGAGGAGCCUGUUCUAGAACCGAUAACCCCCGUUAAACCUCACCCUCCCUUGUUAAUGCCGCCUAUAUACCGCCGUCGUCAGCCUACCCUGUGAAGGACUAGAAGUAAGCAAAAUUGGUAAGACCCAAAACGUCAGGUCGAGGUGUAGUGUAUGAGAGGGGAAGAAAUGGGCUACAUUUCCUAAAUCAGGAAAUACGAACAAUGGACUGAAAUAAACAUUAGAAGGUGGAUUUAGCAGUAAGCAGAAAAAUAGAGUGUUCUGCUGAAGUAUGGCAAUAAAGCACGCACAUAUCGCCCGUCACUCUCCCCGAGCUUAACACAAAAACAUACCUAAAAAAUUACAUCUGCAAAGGGGAGGCAAGUCGUAA
This 477-nucleotide ribosomal RNA is filed under the name Premnas biaculeatus (spinecheek anemonefish). RNAcentral describes it as "partial small subunit ribosomal RNA". It matches the Rfam family "Bacterial small subunit ribosomal RNA", at positions 788 to 1491 of the family's 1533-position model. The record is from RNAcentral. Lineage: Eukaryota; Metazoa; Chordata; Actinopteri; Pomacentridae.